This 476-nucleotide ribosomal RNA is filed under the name uncultured organism. RNAcentral describes it as "partial 16S ribosomal RNA". It matches the Rfam family "Bacterial small subunit ribosomal RNA", at positions 333 to 800 of the family's 1533-position model. The record is from RNAcentral.
ACACUCCUGCGGGAGGCAGCAGUGGGGAAUUUUGGACAAUGGGCGAAAGCCUGAUCCAGCAAUGCCGCGUGGGUGAAGAAGGCCUUCGGGUUGUAAAGCUCUUUUGUCAGGGAAGAAACGGUGAAAGCUAAUAUCUUUUGCUAAUGACGGUACCUGAAGAAUAAGCACCGGCUAACUACGUGCCAGCAGCCGCGGUAAUACGUAGGGUGCAAGCGUUAAUCGGAAUUACUGGGCGUAAAGCGUGCGCAGGCGGUUUUGUAAGUCUGAUGUGAAAUCCCCGGGCUCAACCUGGGAAUUGCAUUGGAGACUGCAAGGCUAGAAUCUGGCAGAGGGGGGUAGAAUUCCACGUGUAGCAGUGAAAUGCGUAGAUAUGUGGAGGAACACCGAUGGCGAAGGCAGCCCCCUGGGUCAAGAUUGACGCUCAUGCACGAAAGCGUGGGGAGCAAACAGGAUUAGAUACCCCAGUAGUCCCAUGA